This 446-nucleotide ribosomal RNA is filed under the name uncultured bacterium. Its description in RNAcentral is "partial 16S ribosomal RNA". It matches the Rfam family "Bacterial small subunit ribosomal RNA", at positions 338 to 795 of the family's 1533-position model. The record is from RNAcentral.
CCUACGGGGGGCAGCAGUCGAGAAUCAUUCACAAUGGGGGAAACCCUGAUGGUGCGACGCCGCGUGGGGGAAUGAAGGUCUUCGGAUUGUAAACCCCUGUCAUGUGGGAGCAAAUUAAAAAGAUAGUACCACAAGAGGAAGAGACGGCUAACUCUGUGCCAGCAGCCGCGGUAAUACAGAGGUCUCAAGCGUUGUUCGGACUCACUGGGCGUAAGGCGUGCGUAGGCUGUUUCGUAAGUCGUGUGUGAAAGGCGCGGGCUCAACCCGCGGACGGCACAUGAUACUGCGAGACUAGAGUAAUGGAGGGGGAACCGGAAUUCUCGGUGUAGCAGUGAAAUGCGUAGAUAUCGAGAGGAACACUCGUGGCGAAGGCGGGUUCCUGGACAUUAACUGACGCUGAGGCACGAAGGCCAGGGGAGCGAAAGGGAUUAGAUACCCCAGUAGUC